AGUGCGUAGGAAUCUGCCUUGUGGUGGGGAUAACUUGUGGAAACGCAAGCUAAUACCGCAUAAGUCUCAAGAGAGAAAGCGGGGGAUCUUCGGACCUCGUGCCAUAAGAUGAGCCUACGUUGGAUUAGCUAGUUGGUGGGGUAAAGGCUCACCAAGGCGACGAUCCAUAGCUGGUCUGAGAGGAUGAUCAGCCACACUGGGACUGAGACACGGCCCAGACUCCUACGGGAGGCAGCAGUGGGGAAUAUUGGACAAUGGGCGCAAGCCUGAUCCAGCAAUGCCGCGUGGGUGAAGAAGGCC
This 300-nucleotide ribosomal RNA is filed under the name uncultured Gammaproteobacteria bacterium. RNAcentral's name for it is "bacterial SSU rRNA". It matches the Rfam family "Bacterial small subunit ribosomal RNA", at positions 112 to 416 of the family's 1533-position model. The record is from RNAcentral. Lineage: Bacteria; Pseudomonadati; Pseudomonadota; Gammaproteobacteria.